Molecule: ribosomal RNA, 253 nt
Filed under: uncultured bacterium
Lineage: Bacteria
Description: partial 16S ribosomal RNA
Rfam family: Bacterial small subunit ribosomal RNA
Source: RNAcentral
UACGUAAGGUGCAAGCGUUGUCCGGAAUUAUUGGGCGUAAAGAGCUCGUAGGCGGUCUGUCACGUCGGCUGUGAAAACCCGAGGCUCAACCUCGGGCCUGCAGUCGAUACGGGCAAACUAGAGUGUUGCAGGGGAGACUGGAAUUCCUGGUGUAGCGGUGAAAUGCGCAGAUAUCAGGAGGAACACCGGUGGCGAAGGCGGGUCUCUGGGCAACAACUGACGCUGAGGAGCGAAAGCGUGGGGAGCGAACAGG